CCUACGGGUGGCAGCAGUGGGGAAUAUUGGGCAAUGGGCGCAAGCCUGACCCAGCCACGCCGCGUGAAGGAAGAAGGCUCUCGGGUUGUAAACUUCUUUUUAGCGGGAAGCGCAGAAGACGGUACCUCUUGCCUAAGCCACGGCUAACUACGGGCCAGCAGCCGCGGCAAUACGUAGGUGGCAAGCGUUUUCCGGAUUUACUGGGUGUAAAGGGCGUGCAGGCGGGAAGACAAGUCAGAUGUGAAAUCCCGCGGCUCAACCGCGGAACGGCAUUUGAAACUGUGUUUCUUGAGUACCGGAGAGGUCAUCGGAAUGCCUUGUGUAGCGGUGAAAUGCGUAGAUAUAAGGAAGAACACCAGUGGCGAAGGCGGAGGACUGGACGGCAACUGACGGUGAGGCGCGAAAGCGUGGGGAGCAAACAGGAUUAGAUACCCGUGUAGUC
This 442-nucleotide ribosomal RNA is filed under the name uncultured bacterium. RNAcentral describes it as "partial 16S ribosomal RNA". It matches the Rfam family "Bacterial small subunit ribosomal RNA", at positions 338 to 795 of the family's 1533-position model. The record is from RNAcentral.